This is a long non-coding RNA of Gadus morhua (Atlantic cod), 220 nucleotides long. RefSeq lists it as uncharacterized. The record is from RefSeq and is a predicted model, not a curated record. The transcript is spliced from 3 exons. Lineage: Eukaryota; Metazoa; Chordata; Actinopteri; Gadiformes; Gadidae.
CUCUGUCUGAGGAGAGCUGCUGGAGGACGACUAGGAAUCGACCAACAAGGAUUCCUUAGACCAAUUACGUUUGUAACCAGACCAGGAAUCUGGAGGACUGAUGGAGAAGCCGUACAUCUAGAAGGCAGAUCCUGAGGACCACCAGGACUCUACCAUUAAGGAUUCCUCACGCACCUGAGCUGAACCCGCCCUGAUCCUGACAUCCUGCUGGUCCCGUCUC